Molecule: ribosomal RNA, 119 nt
Filed under: Pelobates cultripes (western spadefoot toad)
Lineage: Eukaryota; Metazoa; Chordata; Amphibia; Anura; Pelobatidae
Source: RNAcentral
AUCUAUGGCAAUAUCAGUCUGAAAGUGCCUGAUCUUGUCAGAUCUUAGAAGCCAUCCAGACUCGGGCCUGGUUAGCACUUGUAUGGGAGACCUACUAGGAACCUCAGGUGCUGUAACGG